Molecule: long non-coding RNA, 2835 nt
Filed under: Musa acuminata (dwarf banana)
Lineage: Eukaryota; Viridiplantae; Streptophyta; Magnoliopsida; Zingiberales; Musaceae
Description: long non-coding RNA (MACU_LNC009019)
Source: RNAcentral
UCCCAGGCAUAAAAGAAAGGUAGGUCUGUAGGUAGUGAUGUUCCCGCUCCUUCUAUUCCAGCCUAUUGAAGGCACCGGGAAGAAUGGACCACCAAUUCAUCCUGCUUCCUUAUAUUCUUAUUCCCCCAUUUAGUGGAUUGGUUCCAACAGAAAGACCAGUGGAGGAGAACUAAAGUAAAUGCGCUUACCAACUCCUUAUCGACCUUCCAAUCUCUUAUCUGGACAGGAUAAGAGCAAAUGAAACAACACCUAUUGUCUAUUCUGACUCCUGGCUCACUGCCGGUGGGCAUUAACUAAACCUGUUAUCAUAGCUAUCUAUUGGUGCUCUCGGCAUAGGAAGUAUCUUAAGGUUGAUCCCUUGCUAAGCGAAGUCUCUUUAAUCCCUUGCUAAGUAUCCAUUUAUGUUGCAUAGCCAUAUACUUUUGUAGUUCCAGCUGAUCCAGUCGUUGAUCCUGCAGCUUAUCCAAAUGAGCACCAGCAGACAGAGGUAGAUACAGAGCCAGUAGCUUACCCAGGAGCAUACUUCGGUGUUGCAUAUAUAGCGAAAUACCCCUUUCACCUAGGUGGAAAAGAGAUCUAUUGAUACCCACCAUAAGUUUACCCAUAAGCCCACAGAGCGGUAGCGAACGAGACAGCAAAUGGAUGGAAAUUAGAUACUUAAUUGCUGGCAGCAGCUUUCUAGCUCCGGCGCUCAGAAUAUCGGGUAUGAUUCUCACUUUCUUGCCCUGCUUCUAUUGACAUUUGGAAAAAGAACCUUGCUCGACUAGUAGCUGGCAUCGCCUUACUGGUAAAGUAAUUGGACUAAGAUUUAGGGACCUGCCACACUCCAACCUCUUCCGAAAAGACAAGCUUACCUCGAUCUGUCAUUACAUAUGAUAUCUCGAGAGUUCCAGACCAUCACGUAAUGAAUUUAGAGAAUGCCGAUGAUAACCGAGAUCUGGAAAGCGGUGAAUACUGUUAGUGAAGCUAGACCUGUUAUCGUUAUUAGAGAGAUUGAUUAGAUGGAAGCGGGAGCCAACGAAGGGAGCAUGCGUAGCUACGUCGGUUCAGAGAUGAGAUCAAUUUGACCUUUAGCAGAAGGGCCGAUGCAAUUGAGCAAGCACUAGCUUAGCUUCAAUAGGUAUAAGAGUGGGAUAUAAUAUAUAUUAGGUAUAAGAGUUGGAUAUAAUCUAUAUCUAUAUAGGAGGACUUUCUUUCUGAAUCUACUCUCAUAUAUAAGAGGACUUUCUUUCUGAAUUGACUCCCAUAUAUAAGAGGACUUUCUUUCUGAAUUGACUCCCAUGCAUGGGCCAAAAGACAUAGAACUCGCAGCCUUAUACUGGCAUUUAAGGAAUAGAACUCGCAGCCUUAUACUGGCAUUUAAGGAGAGAUCCCUAUUGUAUGUAUUAGUUGAUCAAGGGGAACCCAACAAUGGUGAAGUGGGUCUAUUUCGCAUAGGUCAGUCAUCAAUAAUCUCAGUAACCACAGGACAAAAGCCAAGAGCUCCUAUUGGUAACUCUGGCAGUAUAGCUUAUGUGGGUGGGCUUGGAAAAAAGAAAUCCUCAAAUAUAAAGAAACAUUUCCGCAGCCUACUUGUUUGGGUCUAUGCCUCUGCCAAAUACACCAGAGCAGCAAGUCCUAGUAUCUAAACUCAAGCAAUAUUUCUUCUUCUAAUUUCUCUAUAUCUAUGAUGAAUCUUCUAAUUUCUCUAUCUCUAUGAUGAAAGGAUCUAUAUCUAUGAUGAAAGGGACUCUACCAAUAUCCUCUGGAGCAAGGAAAAGCAACUCUGUUUGAUAUCGGUAACGAUUCACAUAUUCUUUGGAUUGAUAGAUGGGAAACCCUUACUUCAUGUGGGUAGUUGGGUUAGAAGUCAAAUCUACAGCUUUCAAUAAUAGUUUCACUGUGACACCGAAGGAAAUCUGGUAAAGCGGAAAGGGAGUUUGUCUACUCGACCAAUAACUAGGACGGAUAGGAACUAUUCUUAGUCUGGGACAGGGUUCGAAGAAGCUAUUAGAUAAGUAUAGGGUUACAAGCUAUUAGUGAGUCGCUAGUGUCAAGAACCAGAUCGAUGGGAUAUUAUGACCUUGGGUACGAUAGUUUCUCAACCGACUAACAAAGGGAUAUCGGAUAGGCUCGGCCAACUCAAUCAACCGGUACAGCUCUCACUCUUCCUGCUCUAUUUUCUUUCUUAACGAAACUAGAUUGGAAGUUUUGAACCGAUUGCUGCUGAUCGAUCCUGUUUAUUCUCUAUAACCCGCCUAUCUAAUAGGAAGAAUGUAAUCAAGCAGCUCCUCUCUCUAACCCGCCUAUCUAAUAGGAAGAAUGUAAUCAAGCAGCUCCUCUCUCUGGCAACCAACCAUGAAUUCUGUAUUUCCUUUCUCGCGGUCAGGUCAAGUCAACCCACUUUCCUUUCCAGCCAAACACCUCACCUACUUUUGCUCCGAGUCAACUCAUAGAUUCAUUUCAGAACUGGACAUUCAAACUGGUUCUCUUUCUCAUAUACCUAUGGCUCUGGUAACAAUGUAGUAAUCAAUAACCCUUUGAGUGAAAAUAACCCUUUGCCACACUUAAGAAUUUCCCCUAAACUUCUUCUAUAGGCCUAAACUAUGGCUCUGUACUAUUUACUACUCUACUACUUACUGGAUAACUACUGAUUCUCUGGUCGACCACACCUCGCUGCAAAGCCAACUCGUACACUUCCUACUGCCAUGCCAGGUAGUAGAGUGAAGUAGUAUCACCUAUGUGUUCAGUAGGAAACCUGAAGUUCCAGAGUCCGGAGAAAGUACCAAUUCCUUGAGUUUAAGACCGCUCCCUUUCCCUUAGUAAAAGUAUGAUUACUCCACUUAUGUAUCGAGG